RNAcentral lists this small nuclear RNA (23 nucleotides) under Arabidopsis thaliana (thale cress). RNAcentral's name for it is "snRNA_01347". Lineage: Eukaryota; Viridiplantae; Streptophyta; Magnoliopsida; Brassicales; Brassicaceae. The record is from RNAcentral.
UAUGGUUAGAUCUCUGUUAUUAU